This 490-nucleotide ribosomal RNA is filed under the name uncultured bacterium. Its description in RNAcentral is "partial 16S ribosomal RNA". It matches the Rfam family "Bacterial small subunit ribosomal RNA", at positions 28 to 507 of the family's 1533-position model. The record is from RNAcentral.
GAUGAACGCUAGCUACAGGCUUAACACAUGCAAGUCGAGGGGAAACGAUGAGAGAGCUUGCUCUCUUAGGCGUCGACCGGCGCUCGGGUGAGUAACGCGUAUCCAACCUACCCAUUACAGGGGGAUAACCUUGCGAAAGUAAGACUAAUACCCCAUGGCAUUUUAUGGUGGCAUCAUUAUAGGAUUAAAGAUUUAUUGGUAAUGGAUGGGGAUGCGUCUGAUUAGCUUGUUGGCGGGGUAACGGCCCACCAAGGCAACGAUCAGUAGGGGUUCUGAGAGGAAGGUCCCCCACAUUGGAACUGAGACACGGUCCAAACUCCUACGGGAGGCAGCAGUGAGGAAUAUUGGUCAAUGGGCGAGAGCUUGAACCAGCCAAGUAGCGUGCAGGAUGACGGCCCUAUGGGUUGUAAACUGCUUUUAUAGGGGAAUAAAGUGAGCUACGUGUAGUUUAUUGCAUGUACCCUAUGAAUAAGGACCGGCUAAUUCCGUG